CCACGCCGUAAACGGUGGGCACUAGGUGUGGGCAACAUUCCACGUUGUCCGUGCCGCAGCUAACGCAUUAAGUGCCCCGCCUGGGGAGUACGGCCGCAAGGCUAAAACUCAAAGGAAUUGACGGGGGCCCGCACAAGCAGCGGAGCAUGUGGCUUAAUUCGACGCAACGCGAAGAACCUUACCAAGGCUUGACAUACACCGGAAACGGCCAGAGAUGGUCGCCCCCUUGUGGUCGGUGUACAGGUGGUGCAUGGCUGU
This 258-nucleotide ribosomal RNA is filed under the name uncultured bacterium. RNAcentral describes it as "partial 16S ribosomal RNA". It matches the Rfam family "Bacterial small subunit ribosomal RNA", at positions 795 to 1052 of the family's 1533-position model. The record is from RNAcentral.